GACGAACGCUGGCGGCGUGCUUAACACAUGCAAGUCGAACGGAAAGGCCCUGCUUUUGUGGGGUGCUCGAGUGGCGAACGGGUGAGUAACACGUGAGUAACCUGCCCUUGACUUUGGGAUAACUUCAGGAAACUGGGGCUAAUACCGGAUAGGAGCUCCUGCUGCAUGGUGGGGGUUGGAAAGUUUCGGCGGUUGGGGAUGGACUCGCGGCUUAUCAGCUUGUUGGUGGGGUAGUGGCUUACCAAGGCUUUGACGGGUAGCCGGCCUGAGAGGGUGACCGGCCACAUUGGGACUGAGAUACGGCGCAGACUCCUACGGGAGGCAACAGUGGGGAAUAUUGCACAAUGAGCGGAAGCCUGAGGCAGCAGCGCCGCGUGCGGGAUGACGGCCUUCGGGUUGUAAACCGCUUUCGCCUGUGACGAAGCGUGAGUGACGGUAAUGGGUAAAGAAGCACCGGCUAACUACGUG
RNAcentral lists this ribosomal RNA (468 nucleotides) under uncultured bacterium. RNAcentral describes it as "partial 16S ribosomal RNA". It matches the Rfam family "Bacterial small subunit ribosomal RNA", at positions 28 to 507 of the family's 1533-position model. The record is from RNAcentral.